GGGGGGGUAGCUCAGUUGGUUAGAGCGCUACGUUGACAUCGUAGAGGUCACCGGUUCGAUCCCGUUCCUCCCCACCA
This 77-nucleotide transfer RNA is filed under the name Bacillota bacterium. RNAcentral's name for it is "tRNA-Val". It matches the Rfam family "tRNA". From Rfam's summary of the family: Transfer RNA (tRNA) molecules are approximately 80 nucleotides in length. The record is from RNAcentral. Lineage: Bacteria; Bacillati; Bacillota.